Molecule: long non-coding RNA, 427 nt
Filed under: Equus caballus (horse)
Lineage: Eukaryota; Metazoa; Chordata; Mammalia; Perissodactyla; Equidae
Description: lncRNA (ENSECAG00000048832.1)
Source: RNAcentral
CCCGGGCUACGGGACAGCCCCACAGGGCUGGACGCACGCUGUUGUCAGUCUUUUCUGUAACAAAUGAUGAUUCAAUAGGUCAGCUUGGAACUUGUCAUUAUAUAUGCGCGCAGGAGCAGCCACAGGGUGAAUUCCCAGCAGCCAGAUUGCUGGGUGAAGUAAGUGCAUUGACACUUCUGAUAGAUGAGAAAUCCCUGUCCACUGUCGCUUCCUUUGCCCAGUGGACCUCCUCCCAGCAAGGGCUGGGCGCCGCUUCCGCAGCCGAACAUGCUGGAAAACUCUGGGGGUUUUGCCAAUCUGCUGGAUGUCUGAGUUGUUUCCACUUUGGGGAUGUUAGGACCAGUCUUCUACGAAAUUCUCUGAACCUGAAGAUGGUGCUGAGAUGCCUCUGACCCAAGACGGUGGAGCUCCACCUACCUGAGGCCCU